Bombus terrestris (buff-tailed bumblebee) is the source of this 3951-nucleotide long non-coding RNA. RefSeq lists it as uncharacterized. Lineage: Eukaryota; Metazoa; Arthropoda; Insecta; Hymenoptera; Apidae. The record is from RefSeq and is a predicted model, not a curated record. The transcript is spliced from 4 exons.
AUCCUCCUCGGACGCGUAACACGGGCCAUAAUGCCAUGUUAUGGAACUUUGCCAUUGUAUUGUUUCCAUGGAUCUAUUUGCGAUACACGAGUGUUUCUUUCAGCACAUUCACCUAUGACCCCACUCAUCGAGUUUGGUAAACCUAAACGACCACCUGUACAUACAAGAUUUCCAUUUUGCUUAUCUCCUAACCUAAACCCACCAAAAAAGGCACCUCGAGUACAUGCGAGGCGUGCAAGGUGUUCGUGCGCCGUGGAAUGUAGGAAAGAAUGGCCAUGGAAGGAAUGGCAGACCCACUGGCCAUAAUAUUGAGCUACGCACACGCAACUGCUUGCCAUUCCAUAUACUCUUAGCGCCUUCGUCGAUGUUUUAAUGACGACACUGUCAUGGAAACGUAUUCUGCAGGCAGAAUCAUGGAGCCCUUCUGCCCUUUCUUCGUGGUAGACCGCGGAGGCAUUCCUUACAGCCACCCGUAACAUGUUAUCACGUCAACUUAUGUAAUAUUAAAAAGUUGACUAUGUUUGAUACUAAAAGAUUCUUAACUUCGAAUAUGUUGAACUCAUUGAAAUAAGGUGAAACCAUUAUAAUUUACAUUUAACAAACGAAUAACGUCUCUAUCUUGCAAAAAAAAAGAUGAAAGCUUUAAUAUUCUUUGUACGGUUUAAAUUGUCACACUUUGUUACUACUACAUUGUUACACUGUGCAGUAUUAUACUUAAUACUGCUUUAACACUGUUCAAUGCGUUUCCUGACCCCUUGAAGUUAACUAUGUAUGUAUACAGAAUGUUGGUGAGACGACGGGAAUCUUUUCACCCGGCUCUCACCCGGAAACCUCAACAGCGUUAAACGUAGCAGUAUUAAAUAUUGGAUUGCCAGAUAAAUCUUAAACCUUUUAGAGGUUACAUUUUUGCUCAGAAACAAGAAAAAUUCUGUAUGGAUGGCAUAAUGGAAUUAUUCAAUAGGUGGCAGAAUAUUAUUGAAUAAAGUAAUGCAUAUUUGAUUUAAUUAUAUUAUUACAAAGUGUUUAAAUGAAGUAUAAUUCAUACUAGAAAAGCUUCAAGACUUGUCUGAUAAUCCAAUAUAAUACUGCACAGUGUAACAAUGUUAAGUGUAAGAAAGAUGAAGAUUAUAUUGAGGACUGGAUACAUUAUUUCAGGUAAAACUCGGCAAAGUUUCUGUUAUCCAGAACGAAUCUUGACCGCUCCUUGUGCGUUUCGUCUCAUUUAAAUCACGGGACUGAAUGAAAUCUCGUUUUCCCGUUACAUGGAAUCUGAUUCAUGCGCGAAUCACGCCGAUCGGUGUGGAAAGAGAACGCAUUCUUCUCUAGCCGCCUCUAUCCACCGUAUCUUCAGCCAUUCUGGAUGCUGAACACUUUGUAUAUACGUCCAAAUAACAUUCCAAAUAGAGAGAAUCAACGAGCAAACAUCGGUGUCGCGAAACGAAAGAACCCUCUUAUCCGGCUACGGGAAACGCGAAUGCAAAGAAUUCAGUAUUCAAUCGCGCCUCCGGUACUCGUGUUGCACCUAUUAUUGAGUACACGGGCUUUUGUAAGAAAAUUCUUACGAGAUCCAAAUGAGUGAUCGUUGGAUAUGCGAAGUUAUAUAGCGUCACGCGUAUCGGACUUUUUGCGGUGAGGUGGUGACAGUCUGAGCUGGAAUUAAUAACAAAAAAAUUCAUCUAUAAAAUUAGUUUACUAGGCUUAUAAAAUUGAAGGAAUUUUAUAGCGUUGAUCCUUGACGACCUUGAUUCAUUAAUUUAAUUCAUAAAUGGUGAAACCAUUAGCAAGAAAUUACUACCCUGUGGAACAUUAAAACAGUUUAUAUUAAUAAGUGAUUAUUGAACUGGAAAACAUAAAAAUAUCCUAUAUAGAUUAAUUUUUAAGUUAGAAUAAUAUGAAAUUAGUCUAUGCUAUAUAGGAGAUUUAGUAGUUGGUGAGACCAUAGAUUUAACAGUAUGAAUAGAAAGAGAAAAUAUUGAAGAAUGCAGUGUAGCUCAUAAUGCACCAACAGUAGAGAGAACUAAAAAAGGUGGCUAAAAGAACAUAAAGAAUAUAGAAAGUCACUAAAAUAAUGGUAAAAUCCUGCAAGAUCACAAAUAAAAAGAAGCCUAACUGUACAUGAUAAGGAACAGAAACCAAGACAGACCAAAAGAUCGAAGAAGAGAAACGACGGUACUGUUCGUUGCGCGAAGAUGCAUCGAAAAUUUCACCUGACCAGCAAUGGUCAAUUUCACGGAUAGCAAGAGCGUACCAGAGACUGAAUUGCGCGAGUUAAUCAUACGCGACGCAAGUAGGCCGACCUGGGCAAAAACAAACGAUAUGCGCACGCGGCGCGGCCGCGUGCGAUACAUAUAAUUGGCCAGCGUAUUGCUAGCGGCUCGUGAAGUAUUCCAGCAAAUCCGACAUACAUUCCAGCGCGGAUCCCGGCUACUUACGUUCCGCCUCGCUGUGGAAUGCAGUCACCUUGUGGCAGGUGUACGGUGUACCGAACGUCCUCAAACAUUUCAACCUCCUACUUUCCCCCAUUUGAAUUCAAAUGCGUCUUCGUUGCGGCAAGUGGCAGCAACGGGAUCUGGUUGAACCAGUCGUUUUGGGAUUGGUCUUCCUUCGUUAUAUCAUUGAAGCACUGAAACAUUGAUUAUUGUUUGAUAUCUGAUUUUUAGAGGUUUUUGAUAUUAAAAGAAAUAAGUGAUUAGAUAUUCAUCCUUAAUUAAUGAACUGUGCAUAGUUAUGCAAGUUCAUAUCUUUAUGAAUGCACCCAUAUAAAAGAAUACGGCAUAAACAGAGAGAGAUUGACACAUUAUAUAGCUUUCAAUGAAAGACUACUACGACGAAUAGUGGGGUUAGUGGCCUUGAACGGUCAAAUAUUUUUCACUGCCUAUUCACACUUAACUCCACACUUCUCCUGUAUAACACGAUACAAUCCCCUACAUCAUAACAACAUAAACUAAAUUACAAUAAUAAACUACAAUAUAACAACAACAAAACUACAUUACAAUACUAAUAAUAAACCUAUAAGAAUACAUAUAUCUAAUUUCACGGUUCAUUUUCUUUUAUUUCAUCAGUCAGAAUCAGCUUGCUUUUUCACAAUCUUAUAUGAUGACACCUUUUGCAUCCUGAUGAUGAAUGCUUAUCUGUAUACUAUUACCAUAAAUUAUAAUCGUCCAAUGUAGCACAGAAGUAUUACAGUAAUCGUCCUAAAUGUACCUCAAAUGAAUAUUUCAACUUGCAUAGAAGCAAUUUGGAUAAGCAACCAAUGAUCUAUUGAAGAAAAUAAAUGAAAAAAACCAAUGGAAUGGAAUAAUUUUAGGUUAGAUAUACACGAAUACGAAUCGAACUAACGGGUCCAUGGAGCUCGUUUACGCGACCUCUGGGCGGUCAUCUCGUGGUUAAAUGCGCGAGAGGCUUUCUCCGUGGAUUGGAAUGCGGCCUCUCCCUCUGACCGGCUCUCUGACUUGCUUCGAGGAUAGCCAUGGAGGUGUACGUCGGCUUCCAGGUUCGCUCUUUACUGAUUCUAGUUUCCCCAUGGCUACAUGCCGGAAAAUCGGAUACCGGUUACUUCUUUCUCGAAAUAUAGUUGAAUCGGAUAAAAGGAUUUGGACGGUCUGUGAGAUGAGUUGGUAACCUUGGUGACAACAAGUACGACUUCCAAAUUUGAGCAUGCGACAUAUAGGUCAAGGUCAUUACAGAGAUUAUAUUCAUACCGAUGUGAACUAGAAGAUUUAUCUAGAUAUUCCAAUUUGUACGCGAGAUUAUAGACCAUGUUAUCAUUUAGAUAAUAAUCAAUUAAUAAAAACGUUGAAUAGCCAAAAAUUAAUCAGGCAUAAUAGCACAGAAAAAUAUUCAUAACUGUACAAAUAUGUUCUAUUCUCUUCUAUCUAAGAUUAUUUACAAACAUGUAAUGUAAACACAAUAAUACUAUCAAAAUAUUCCCAAUAUAAUGCUACAUUACGA